This 1270-nucleotide long non-coding RNA is filed under the name Brassica rapa (field mustard). Its description in RNAcentral is "long non-coding RNA (BRAP_LNC007002)". The record is from RNAcentral. Lineage: Eukaryota; Viridiplantae; Streptophyta; Magnoliopsida; Brassicales; Brassicaceae.
GAAUAUGCAUUUGGUACUAGGGAUGACUUAACUAUUAUUGCUAAUAUGAAAGUUGUUCUUUACCAAUAGGAGAGAAUAAAAUUUAGAAGUUUUUGGAUUAUUUUCUAUGUUAUUGUUUUCCUUUAAAUGAUUUUCAAAGGGUCACUCUCACAUUCUCUUGAAAUGAAAUAUUUGUGGGAGACUUGAUGAAGAAGAUGAUAAUGAAUAACAAAAUUCAUCUCGACCAACACUAUUUGAGAGUCCACCCCAUGGAGAAGUAUGGAAGCUGCCUUUCAAUACUAGUUUUGUUCUUGGAGAAUUGGAUGGUAUAGAGCUUAACUACGUUAAGUCAUCUACUUAGGUUGUUCUUGGUGGUGGAAUAUGGAGAUUUCCUAUGAAUGCUAGACUUGAUCUUUUUUUUUUAUGUUAUGUUGUAGUUGUUAUCGUCAUUUGCUCUAUUUUAUUUGUUUUAAAAUAUCUAUUUUCUUAAUUGUUCUGUACUUUCAACCAGAUUUAAUGAUCAAUAGAUUUUUUUUUCUUAUUUUUUCUAUACUAUUAUUUAAGAUGUGAUUUUGCAUAUUUGUCUUGUUCUCCACAGUUUUUUUUCCUUAUCUUAAAAAAAAGUUUUACUAAAGUUGUUAGACAAAGAACACACCAUAAAAACAAUAACCCAACCAUUUAGUUUAUCAUGUUUCUCCACAACUUUAGUAAAUCUUUAUAGCAGAAAUGAUGCUUUUGGUACUGGGGAUAACUUAAUUUUUAUUGUUAAUAUGAAAUUUGUUCUUUUGCCAAAUGAAAGAAUCAAAUUUAGAAGUUUUUGGAUUGUUUUAUAUACUACUGUUUUCCUUGUAAUUGGUUUUCAAAGGGUUACUCUUACAUUCUCUUGAACGGAAAUCUUUGUGGGAGACUUGCUGAAGAAUAUGAUAAUGAAUCAUAAAAUUCAUCUCGACCAACACUAAUUGCGAGCGCACUCCAUGGAAUACUAUGGAGGUUGCCUUUGAAUGCUAGUUUUGUUCUUCGAGAAUUGGAUGGUAUAAAGCUUAACUACAUUAUAUCAUCAACUUAUGUUUCUCUUGGUGGUGGAAUAUGGAGAUUGCCUAUAAAUACUAGACUUGUUCUAUUUUUCUAUGUUGUAGUUGUUAUCGUCGUUUGCUCUAUUUUGUUUGUUUUAAAAUAUGUAUUUUCCUAAUCGUUGUGUACUUUCAACCAUAUUUAAUGACCAGUAGAUUUUGUUUUUCUUAUUCUUUCUAUAAUAUUAUUUAAUAAUUGAUUUUGCUGAUUUGUAAUGUUC